Long non-coding RNA from Mus musculus (house mouse), 833 nucleotides. RefSeq annotates it as predicted gene, 36602. Lineage: Eukaryota; Metazoa; Chordata; Mammalia; Rodentia; Muridae. The record is from RefSeq and is a predicted model, not a curated record. The transcript is spliced from 3 exons.
ACAGAUAAGUGAGAAUUUCAGACUCGUAAAUGCUUUGGAGCCAAUGAUGCUGGAAAUGUUAUAACAGAAUGGUACAGGAGAGAGUGGCCACUUAAAACAACGAGUCCUGGAGAUGAGUGUGAGGGUGUGGGGGAAAGUGACAAGAACUGAAGGAGAAGUAACAGAACGGUCUCAAGGUCACCAUGAUAGGAAACGGUGUGUGUGUGGGGGUGUCAGAGUGAAGAAAGGCCAGCUCCCAUGAGGUCUUUGUAAGAAGCAGGGAGUUUGGUUUCCAUCCUAAAUACCUAGGAAGUCACUAGCAGAUUAUAAACGGAUGAGUGAAGUAAUGUGACUGUGGUUUGCGUCGAGACAGGGUCUCAUGUAGCUCAGGCUGUCCUCAGACUUGCCAUAUGGCUGAGUCUGGACUUGAUUCUCCUCCUUUCAGUUCACAUACACUGAGAUUCCAGGCUCACCCACGUCAUCACCCCCAGCUUAACGGUUGUUAUGGAAACCCCCUAGAUGCUCCAUGGAGAACAAUUAGGAAGAAAGCUUUUGAGCCAGCCUGGGAGAGGGAAUGGAGAGUCUGGAAAGUUGGCCACAGAGGGGAAGGUGGUUUGGCUUUAUGACCGUGUAUAAUAUAGCCCAGACUGGGUGCCAUCUUAGUCCACAAGGAUGGGUCAUGUCCUCCUUCUCCCCCUUUCCUUCAGGAAGACAUCUCUAGGAGAAGACUUCUAAACAGGAGAAACACACACAGCUUCCCAGGAUUCUGAACAUUUCCAAGAGUCAUAUCCCCCUGUGGAAGCUAACGUUUGUUGUGGGUUUGUUUUGUCUUGUCUUCUGAGACAGGGUUCUCU